RNAcentral lists this transfer RNA (73 nucleotides) under Dermacentor andersoni. RNAcentral describes it as "transfer RNA arginine (anticodon CCU)". It matches the Rfam family "tRNA". Rfam says of the family: Transfer RNA (tRNA) molecules are approximately 80 nucleotides in length. Their secondary structure includes four short double-helical elements and three loops (D, anti-codon, and T loops). Further hydrogen bonds mediate the characteristic L-shaped molecular structure. tRNAs have two regions of fundamental functional importance: the anti-codon, which is responsible for specific mRNA codon recognition, and the 3' end, to which the tRNAs corresponding amino acid is attached (by aminoacyl-tRNA synthetases). tRNAs cope with the degeneracy of the genetic code in two manners: having more than one tRNA (with a specific anti-codon) for a particular amino acid; and 'wobble' base-pairing, i.e. permitting non-standard base-pairing at the 3rd anti-codon position. The record is from RNAcentral. Lineage: Eukaryota; Metazoa; Arthropoda; Arachnida; Ixodida; Ixodidae.
GCCCUCGUGGCCUAAUGGAUAAGGCAUCGGUCUCCUAAGCCGGGGAUUGCGGGUUCGAAUCCCGCCGAGUGUA